Pelobates cultripes (western spadefoot toad) is the source of this 236-nucleotide non-coding RNA. Lineage: Eukaryota; Metazoa; Chordata; Amphibia; Anura; Pelobatidae. The record is from the annotation of a GenBank genome assembly.
UACAACAGAAAUAUAUACAUGCAACACAACACAUUGGUUUCAACAUUAUUUGUAAAUUUGACAAUUUCCGCAUAUCAUUUGUUCAUACAGUUACAGUUGACUUUCAGCAUUUUAUUCAGAUAUGUAAAUUCCAGAGAAGUAAUGGUUUGCCUUAUAAUUUGAUCUAUAACAGUGGUAGGAAAUGUUCACAUAAAGGGUUUCCAGAACACAGGCAGAAGAAAUGUAAUUAGUAUUUA